Molecule: non-coding RNA, 45 nt
Filed under: Schistosoma mattheei
Lineage: Eukaryota; Metazoa; Platyhelminthes; Trematoda; Strigeidida; Schistosomatidae
Source: RNAcentral
AUCCAGCCGACGAGCCCCAAAUAGGACGAAACGCGUGUCCUGGAU